This 61-nucleotide transfer RNA is filed under the name Ugyops sp. APL-2018. RNAcentral describes it as "tRNA-Cys". The record is from RNAcentral. Lineage: Eukaryota; Metazoa; Arthropoda; Insecta; Hemiptera; Delphacidae.
GGUUUUAUAUUCAAUUAUGAUUUUAGAUUGCAAAUUUAAAGGUACAUUUAUGUUAAGGCUU